GAUGAACGCUGGCGGCGUGCCUAAUACAUGCAAGUCGAGCGAACAGACGAGGAGCUUGCUCCUCUGACGUUAGCGGCGGACGGGUGAGUAACACGUGGAUAACCUACCUAUAAGACUGGGAUAACUUCGGGAAACCGGAGCUAAUACCGGAUAAUAUAUUGAACCGCAUGGUUCAAUAGUGAAAGACGGUUUUGCUGUCACUUAUAGAUGGAUCCGCGCCGCAUUAGCUAGUUGGUAAGGUAACGGCUUACCAAGGCAACGAUGCGUAGCCGACCUGAGAGGGUGAUCGGCCACACUGGAACUGAGACACGGUCCAGACUCCUACGGGAGGCAGCAGUAGGGAAUCUUCCGACAUGGGCGAAAGCUUGACGGAGCAACGCCGCGUGAGUGAUGAAGGUCUUCGGCUCGUGAAACUCUGCUAUUAGGGAAGAACACAUGUGUAAGUAACUAUGCACGUCUUGACGGUACCUACUCAGAAAGCCACGGCUAACUACGUG
Molecule: ribosomal RNA, 497 nt
Filed under: uncultured bacterium
Lineage: Bacteria
Description: partial 16S ribosomal RNA
Rfam family: Bacterial small subunit ribosomal RNA
Source: RNAcentral